GGCUUAGAGUUUGAUCAUGGCUCAGGACGAACGCUGGCGGCGUGCCUAACACAUGCAAGUCGAACGAGAAUCUUUUGGUUGAUUUCUUCGGAAUGAAAUCAAGAGAGGACAGUGGCGGACGGGCGAGUAACGCGUGAGCAACCUGCCCAUAAGAGAGGGAUAGCACUUGGAAACGGGUAGUAAUACCUCAUAUUGAUAUUGGACCGCAUGGUCUGAUAUUGAAAGAUUUAUCGCUUAUGGAUGGACUCGCGUCUGAUUAGCUAGUUGGGGAGGUAACGGCUCACCAAGGCGACGAUCAGUAGCCGAACUGAGAGGUUGAACGGCCGCAUUGGGACUGAGACACGGCCCAGACUCCUACGGGAGGCAGCAGUGGGGAAUAUUGCGCAAUGGGGGGAACCCUGACGCAGCAACGCCGCGUGCAGGAAGAAGGUCUUCGGAUUGUAGACUGUUGUCGCGAGGGAAGAAGGAAGAUGACGGUACCUCGUGAGAAAGUCACGGCUAACUACGUGCCAGCAGCCGCGGUAAUACGUAGGUGACAAGCGUUGUCCGGAUUUGCUGGGUGUAAAGGGCGCGCAGGCGGGCAGGCAAGUCAGUCGUGAAAUGCCGGGGCUCAACCCCGGAGCUGCGAUUGAAACUGCAGGUCUUGAGUAUCGGAGAGGAAAGCGGAACUCCCAGUGUAGCGGUGAAAUGCGUAGAUAUUGGGAGGAACACCAGUGGCGAAGGCGGCUUUCUGGACAUUAACUGACGCUGAUGCUCGAAAGCGUGGGGAGCAAACAGGAUUAGAUACCCUGGUAGUCCACGCUGUAAACGAUGGAUACUAGAUGCAGGGGUAUCGACUCCUUCUGUGUCGCAGCUAAC
This 858-nucleotide ribosomal RNA is filed under the name uncultured organism. RNAcentral's name for it is "bacterial SSU rRNA". It matches the Rfam family "Bacterial small subunit ribosomal RNA", at positions 1 to 856 of the family's 1533-position model. The record is from RNAcentral.